RNAcentral lists this ribosomal RNA (346 nucleotides) under uncultured bacterium. RNAcentral's name for it is "bacterial SSU rRNA". It matches the Rfam family "Bacterial small subunit ribosomal RNA", at positions 335 to 672 of the family's 1533-position model. The record is from RNAcentral.
ACUCCUACGGGAGGCAGCAGUGGGGAAUAUUGCACAAUGGGGGGAAACCCUGAUGCAGCCAUGCCGCGUGUGUGAAGAAGGCCUUCGGGUUGUAAAGCACUUUCAGUAGGGAGGAAGGUAGUGUAGUUAACACCUGCAUUAUUUGUACGUUACCUACAGAAGAAGCACCGGCUAACUCCGUGCCAGCAGCCGCGGUAAGUACGGAGGGUGCGAGCGUUAAUCGGAAUUACUGGGCGUAAAGCGCAUGCAGGCGGCCUGUUAAGUCAGAUGUGAAAGCCCGGGGCUUAACCUCGGAAUUGCAUUUGAAACUGGCAGACUAGAGUCUGUAGAGGGGUUAGAAUUUCGA